CUUGAGUCUGUGAAGACAAAAUAAAAACUAUACUUGAAUCUCUUCCUAACUUAUUGGGCUAAAUGACAAUGGCAGAAUGCAAUUUCAGAAUUUCAUUCGAUGGGCAAUUUCAGUGUUUUGAUGUGUUUUGUUGCUUCAUUUUGCAGAUGUUUCCAUAAAGAGCAGCAAAGUUGGAUUGAAUGUUCUCUCUGUUUAAAUGAAAAUAACUAUUCUUAACCUGAACCAAGGCCAAUGUAUUGUGCAACAUGGAUGAGUCAGGUUUUAAAGUAUCACUGCUUUAUCCUUUGGGAUGAACUCAUCUGGGGCUUCGACUCAAGAAACAGCAGGGGAGAUGCUCAAAACAAGCCCGUGAAGCUGAAAAUAGCACACCUCAGUUGCUGCUGCUUUCAAGAUAAAGAUGUCACCAGUGCUUGCCUUCUUGUAUGGUGUUCAUAAAAUGAGAUUAGAGUGAUUUACAAUAGUGAAAGAUGGAACAAGACUCAGAGGAGAUGUGACUCAUUAGACAUCAUCCUGUGACUGUUGGAAGGAACCUGC
Molecule: long non-coding RNA, 534 nt
Filed under: Cairina moschata (Muscovy duck)
Lineage: Eukaryota; Metazoa; Chordata; Aves; Anseriformes; Anatidae
Description: domestica (muscovy Duck (domestic type)) lncRNA (ENSCMMG00000007974.1)
Source: RNAcentral